UGGAGCCUUCUGCAGAGCCUGAG
Molecule: non-coding RNA, 23 nt
Filed under: Cricetulus griseus (Chinese hamster)
Lineage: Eukaryota; Metazoa; Chordata; Mammalia; Rodentia; Cricetidae
Source: RNAcentral